GUGGGGAAUAUUGCGCAAUGGGGGCAACCCUGACGCAGCCAUGCCGCGUGUGUGAAGAAGGCCUUCGGGUUGUAAAGCACUUUCAGUGGGGAGGAAAGGGCGCUGGCUAAUAUCCAGUGCAGUUGACGCUACCCACAGAAGAAGCACCGGCUAAUUCCGUGCCAGCAGCCGCGGUAAUACGGAAGGUGCGAGCGUUAAUCGGAAUUACUGGGCGUAAAGCGCGCGUAGGCGGCUUGGUAAGUCGGGUGUGAAAGCCCCGGGCUCAACCUGGGAACUGCAUUCGAUACUGCUGGGCUAGAGUACGAGAGAGGGGGGUGGAAUUCCAGGUGUAGCGGUGAAAUGCGUAGAGAUCUGGAGGAACACCGGUGGCGAAGGCGGCCCCCUGGUUCGAUACUGACGCUGAGGUGCGAAAGCGUGGGGAGCAAACAGGAUUAGAAACCCCAGUAGUCC
This 450-nucleotide ribosomal RNA is filed under the name uncultured bacterium. RNAcentral describes it as "bacterial SSU rRNA". It matches the Rfam family "Bacterial small subunit ribosomal RNA", at positions 354 to 796 of the family's 1533-position model. The record is from RNAcentral.